This 1454-nucleotide transfer RNA is filed under the name Bartonella clarridgeiae. The stretch from base 344 to 417 matches the Rfam family "tRNA". Lineage: Bacteria; Pseudomonadati; Pseudomonadota; Alphaproteobacteria; Hyphomicrobiales; Bartonellaceae. The record is from RNAcentral.
CCUUUCUAAGGAUGAUCAAGAAUGGGCCUAGGCCUUUUUUGAUCUGAUUAGACAUUGACGGUUUAAAGUCUUAUUUAAACCGUUGACAUAUUUUAAACAUUCUAUGAACCGUGGGUUUUGAAUGGAAACUCUGUCCCCUUUAGUGAUACAGAGCAUAACUGUUUUUUAUCCAUGGUUCAUUUGUUUAAAAAUUUAUAAAAAGACUAGCCGCCUUCAUUUCUCUUUCUUCAGAUGAUGAUCCUAAGCCUUCUGGCGAUCUGUUUGCACAAGCCUCUGAGAGGGAUGAAGAUAUUGUUUUCUUUGAUCAGAUUAUGCCGGUAAAGGUUUUCUGGUUUACCCUAUAGGGCUUGUAGCUCAGUUGGUUAGAGCGCGCGCUUGAUAAGCGUGAGGUCGGAGGUUCAAGUCCUCCCAGGCCCACCAGUUACACGAUGCUAAAAGUUGCUAUAUUGGGAGAGUUGAUAAUCCCUUACAGGAAAUUAUUGCCCUUAAUAAAACUUUAUUUUCUAAAAGCAUUCAGAGCUGACAUAGAAUAGAGCUGACAUAGAAUUGAGAAUCUGACAUAGGAAUUAUUGAAAUUGUUUUGGAAUUAUUGAAAUUGUUUUCUAUCAUUUUAAAAGGCUAAAAUAUUCUGUCUCUAUUUUUAAAAUAGCAUCAGUGUUUUGUAAGAGUGUGAAGUUUUUAAGUGUGAGUUUUUUAUAUUUUAGUGUGAGGUUUUAUAAGGGUAUGACGUGAGAGCGUUUUGACCUGUUUUGAUGGGCCGUAGCUCAGCUGGGAGAGCACCUGCUUUGCAAGCAGGGGGUCGUCGGUUCGAUCCCGUCCGGCUCCACCAUAAUUUGGUUCAUCAUUAUUGUUAGAAGAAUAGUUAUUGCAAGAGAUUGAGAGAUCUCUUUGCUUGUUCUAUUGAAAUUGUGAAGAAGAAGGUAUAUUCAGACGUUUUUUGCUUGAACUCAUUCUUAUGAAAGAGAUUUUUCUUAUGAAAGAGAUUUUUAAGAAUGGAUAGCUUAAAAAGAAGAAUGGAUAGAUUAAAAAGGUGGCUUAAAAAGAUGGCUGUUUUUAAAUGAAAAUAGUUAUUUUUACGCUCUUUUGACGAUUGUUACAACAUUAUACGAUUAAAACAUUAUACGAUAAUGAUAAUAACGAUAAUAAAAAGAGCUUUCAUUAAUAAAAAGAGCUUUCAUUAAUAAUAAAGAGCUUUCAUUAAUAAUAAAGAGCUUUCAUUGAACUUUCAUUGAAGAAGCAUUUUGAGCAAAACAGAUGUGUCGCAAGGAAGAGCUCAAAUUCCUUGCUUAUGAUUGGCAACUUAACCGUGCCAUUGAAUAUAUCUCGAGAAGUUGGUCUUUUCUGCUGAUAUUUUUGUUUUAAGUGCCUAUUGAUGCUAGAUUAUUUUUAAAAAUAAUUUUGUAUUGAUGAUUUUGCACGGAAUAAUUGACGAAUGAAUAUUGGCAAUGAGAAUG